UACGGAGGGUGCAAGCGUUAUCCGGAUUCACUGGGUUUAAAGGGUCCGUAGGCGGCCCUGUAAGUCAGUGGUGAAAUCUUUCGGCUCAACCGGAAAAUUGCCAUUGAUACUGCAGGGCUUGAAUUAUUGGGAAGUAACUAGAAUAUGUAGUGUAGCGGUGAAAUGCUUAGAGAUUACAUGGAAUACCGAUUGCGAAGGCAGGUUACUAUCAAUUAAUUGACGCUGAUGGACGAAAGCGUGGGGAGCGAACAGG
This 253-nucleotide ribosomal RNA is filed under the name uncultured bacterium. Its description in RNAcentral is "partial 16S ribosomal RNA". It matches the Rfam family "Bacterial small subunit ribosomal RNA", at positions 524 to 776 of the family's 1533-position model. The record is from RNAcentral.